GACGAACGCUGGCGGCGUGCUUAACACAUGCAAGUCGAACGGAAAGGCCCUGCUUUUGUGGGGUGCCCGAGUGGCGAACGGGUGAGUAACACGUGAGUAACCUGCCCUUCACUUUGGGAUAACUUCAGGAAACUGAGGCUAAUACCGGAUAGCAUCUCCUGCUGCAUGGUGAGGGGUGGAAAGUUUCGGCGGUUGGGGAUGGACGCGCGGCUUAUCAGCUUGUUGGUGGGGUAGUGGCUUACCAAGGCAUUGACGGGUAGCCGGCAUGGGAGGGUGACCGGCGACAUUGGGACUGAGAUACGGACCAGAGUCCUACGGGAGGCAGCAGUGGGGAAUAUUGCCCAAUGGGCGGAAGCCUGAUGAAGAAACGCCGCGUGCGGGAUGACGGCCUUCGGGUUGUAAAACGCUUUCGCCUGUGACGAAGCGUGAGUGACGGUAAUGGGUAAAGAAGCACCGGCUAACUACGUG
Molecule: ribosomal RNA, 468 nt
Filed under: uncultured bacterium
Lineage: Bacteria
Description: partial 16S ribosomal RNA
Rfam family: Bacterial small subunit ribosomal RNA
Source: RNAcentral